Molecule: ribosomal RNA, 477 nt
Filed under: uncultured bacterium
Lineage: Bacteria
Description: partial 16S ribosomal RNA
Rfam family: Bacterial small subunit ribosomal RNA
Source: RNAcentral
AGUGAACGCUGGCGGCGUGCCUAACACAUGCAAGUCGAACGGAUCUUAAGGGCUUGCUCUUAAGGUUAGUGGCGCACGGGUGAGUAACACGUAGCUAACCUGCCCCAUAGUAAGGGACAACAGUUGGAAACGACUGCUAAUACCUUAUACUCCUUCUCUACCUAAGUAGAGUCGGGAAAGUUUUUUCGCUAUGGGAUGGGGCUGCGGCCUAUCAGCUUGUUGGGGAGGUAAUGGCUCACCAAGGCUAUGACGGGUAGCUGGUCUGAGAGGAUGAUCAGCCACAUUGGAACUGAGACACGGUCCAAACUCCUACGGGAGGCAGCAGUGGGGAAUUUUACACAAUGGGCGAAAGCCUGAUGUAGCAACGCUGCGUGGAGGAUGAAGGAUUUAGGUUCGUAAACUCCUUUUAUAAGGGAAGAAAUUUGACGGUACCUUAUGAAUAAGCACCGGCUAACUCCGUGCCAGCCGCCGCAGUAA